CAAAACGACAACUCGCUGUUCCUGUUCUUUCUUUUCUUUUUAGUCUCUGUUUGUCAAAAUCAGUAGCACUGUUUUAAUUCUAAUUUUGAUUUUUGUGGAUUUUUCUCUUGCAAAUUUCUGAUCUAUUUUAUUUUGUUUUUGCAAAAUAUUUGGUUUUUGAUCCCUUUUCUUUUUCCCUUAUCUAGUAGAGUUUCUACUUGGGCCCUGCUUCUCCUGCUUCUGGUUUGUAUGUGUGUGAGCUUCAAUGCUCAAGGAGGACUCAACAUCUCCACUGGAAGCCAUUUGAUUCCUUUUCUAGAUAUGCCCAUUCCUUAUUAUUUUACUCAAACUUUCUGACUUUCUGCUUGCUUGCUCUGAAAAUUCCUUAAAAAGAAAAUCAAACUACCUCUUUUUUUUUUUUUUCUUUUCAUUUUUUUUUCUUGAAUCUCGUAAGUUUGUUAUUUUUGAAGGAAAUUUAUUAAUUAUGUCAUGUUGAUUGCAAAUUUACAAUGCAGGAGGCAAAAAAAAUCCUGCAACACACUAAAGUCUCUCCCAAUUGCUUCUGGCAUUAUCCUAGAAAGAUUGAUUCUUUAUUUCUGUUUGAGAUUAUUUUUUUCAUCUAAGAAAUAAUGCAUUAUACAUGGUUGUUAUAUGCUUCUGGUAUUGUGCUUAUUUUUUUAAAUCUUUUAAAUAAUGCUUCUGGUAUUGUGCUUAUUUUUUUAAAUCUUUUAAAUAAUGCUUCUGGUAUUGUGCUUAUAUAUUGUUUGUUACAGGGUUUACUAGCUGAGAGAAGACUCAUCGAGGAAAUUGGGAACAAUUAUUGCUGAUAAGACUGGAAGCAGGAAAACUACUCAUAUGAUUUAUAUUCCCUUGUAGUCGAAAUGGGAGGAUUACUGGGUUGACUCAACCUAGACGUGUGGCCGCAGUCAAUGUUGCAGUACGGGUUGCUGAGGAAUGUGGUUUGGAAGUGGGUCAAAAGGUUGGGUACUCCAUCAGAUUUCAAGCUCAACAAGGAUCAAAAUACAUGACGGAUGGCCUGCUUCUGAGUUACAAUAUUCAUCUGGGGGAAGGUCCUGGUGAUAUAUUUUUGAAGGGGCAUGAAGGGACUGAAUUUCUCCUAUAUUUUCAUCCCUACCAUCAGAAGAGCUAUUGCUAGUUUUUGCACCAACCCAAGCUGGAUUUCUUAAGGUAACUUCAAAGUACAUGUGAAUUAACCUUUUAUGUUUAGCUGGACCCCACCCCAUAUCUUUUGUAUAAUAUCAAUUUACCUCUAUUUAAAAUUUUUUGUUAGAUCCUCUCCCCACCCCUAACUUUGUUAUAAAUUCAAUAUUUAAAUUAUAUUCAGUAUUAUCUUUCAAGUUUCAUAAAAAUAAAAAUAAAGGUUUUAUCAUUUUUUUUUUUUCAAAAUCCAACAAAAAAUUUUAGUUUUUUUUUUUUUUAAAAAUUAACUUUUGGUAUAAUAUAAAUCUACUACUCAUCAAAAAAUUUGUAAUUGGCCCCUAUAUACAUAUAUAUAUAUAUAUAUAUUAAGAUUAAUUUCUCCCCUUAAUAUCAACUUACCCCUUCUUUAAAAAAUUUUAGUUAUAUUUUCCUUCUUAACUUUGAUAUAAUAUCAAUAUUUCAAUUUAUAUAUGGUAUUAUCUUUCAAUUUUUUUUUAUCAAAUUUGAUAAAAAAAAAAGUUUUUUAAUUUAGACAUAUUUUUAUUAUAUGAAUAAUCAAUUUGAAUACCGACCAAUCAAUUUUUUCAAAAUUUUAACCACAAAAAAAUUUAGAAAUUGGGUUAAUUGACUGAAUCUCAAAUUUAGGGAGAAAAUUGCUGUAAAAAAAAAUUAGAGUGCAAAUUGAAAGUAAAUAUUUUGUUAUUUUCGUUAAGAAAAAUAAAUUACACGUGCAAAAGGACGAUUCUUUUGCUAUUUGAAACAUUGUUGACAUUGUCGAUGGUGUCCUUAUGAACUGGGGAUCCUCUCAACUCUGACUUUCCAUGGAACAAGUAUCAUCAUCAUCAUCAAGUAUUAUAGUGGAAGAGUGGAAUGGGUCUUAGAAUCAAGGUUGCAACUUUAGGAGAAAAAUUAAAGCUUUACUGGGUUACUGAGCUUGCAAUGCAUUAUAAAUGGGUCUUUUGUAACAUUGGAACUAUCGCAGUGGUUUUUGAGGGACUUAAAAAGAGGAAUUUAUUCACAUUCCACCAGGUGUGUUUUGUAUUUCUAAUUUAUCAAUUACAAAAUGCCAAAUCUAGAUAUCAAUUACUGAUUAUUUCUUUUGGUCAUGGGAUGCAUACACUGAAUGGCAUAAUAGGAUGAUUUUGCAUCUUCUUUUAUUUAUUUUCAGACAAGAAAUGAAAUUUUGGAGAGUCAAUAUUAUUUCAUCAUAAUUCUUGAGAUGAUUUAGUAUGUUGCAUAAGUUGGUUUGUGAUUGAGUGAAUAAAUGCUGAUGUAGUGGUUCUCUAACUCUAGUUGUCUAUGACACUUUACUUGUUAGCGCUCAACUCUAGAUAGCAAUGCCAAAAUGUGGCGUUUAGUUGCAGAUCUCAUGAACGAUCUUGGUACGUUCUGAAAUCACCUUUAUAAUCUCUUGUAUUCACGCUGGCAUACGCAUAAUGAACAUAAAUUACAUGCACACAUACCACUUCAAAAUUGCUUCCUGCUGAUGGAACACGUAGUUUUGUCAAAUUUGAGGACCACCAGAUCAGAAUUUGGUGUUCUGAAUUCUCUUUCACAAUGCUUGUUUCUGCUAUGUUGGAUUUCCAUGUUGUAAUUUUUUGGACUUGAUGUCUUAGAAUGACAAGAAAGACUUGUAUCUGUUGAGGGAAUGUUGAUAGAUCUCAUUUCUCCUCUUUAACCUUCAGCAUUUGUGUAUGCGGUUUGUUUAGGGAGCCUAUCAAGAUCAUUCAGUGAGUUCUUAUAUUCCUUCAAACUAAAUAUGAAACCUUUCUGCUUGUUGUGUAUUAACUUUUGUUUCCAAAUUUUUAUGCGUUAUGAUAUUGCCACAUAUGGUAUGCUAUUUAUUGGCAUUAGCAUCAAUCAUAGUGUUCAUACAUAUAAAUUAUAAGGCUGUUAGAGGCAUUAUAUUCAUUUUUAAACUGCUUCAGUUCUCUUAAUAGUACAUUACUAUUUGUAUGUUUAGAUCCUCCAUAGAAGUAUUUCUUUUCAGUCUGUACCAAUACCUCUAUUCCAAAAACUUUGCUUACAAAAAUAAGAGCUCUCAUUAAAAUUUUAAUUUACUCUAUUUUUACUUAGCCGGUGUGGCAAUUGGAGCCACAUGAGCUGGUAUGAGCAUUGUGUUUCUGACUGGUGGAUGGGGAUCCUGAUAUAAUGUUUAAAAUGGCUAGUUUACUGUCAACUUGUUUUCGUACAUUGUUAGGAAGGAAGUCAAGAGACAGUAGCAUGGAUGAUUGGCAUGGCACUGGGUAUGCUUUUUGCCUGUGCCACUACAGGGCACCCACUAGCUAUUUGGUUUUGUUUUAUGUAUCUCACCUUCUUCCAUAUGUAUGGUGCGAGAAGAGUUCAAACUACCAUUACUCUUGGAGAUAGAUGUGGCAUUGCCUGGAGUUAUCAAGAGUUGAGCUUGUGAUAACAGGGGAGUUAGUUUGUAGAACAAAGAAGCAAAAUUCUAGGAAGCGACAUAUAUUGAUGCGUCUAGUCGUUACGUGUCACCUGUAUCAGGUCGACAUGAGGCAUCUCCAUUAUUCGACAGCGAGUGACAUGUGUCGUGUCUACUACAUGCCACAUGUCGCGCUUAAAAGAUGCCACAUGUCAACCUGAAUCGGGUGACAUGUGUUGGCCUCUGAUGUGCAACCCGUGUUGGUCAGUGUGGUGACAUGUGGCGAUGCCACGUCAGCUUGACGGUGACACGUGACAAUGAACAGUGAUACGUGAACAGUAUCCGUGAACAGUAUCGUAAACAAUGCAUGUGAACAGUGCGCAUGAACAAUAAACAUGUGGGAUUUUUUGUGUGGGUAUAUACAAUAAUUUUUGUGAAAUGACAAGUGGAGAUGUGCCUGCUGCACAAGUGUUCGCUCAGACUUAUAUGUUUCAAGUGCUUCAUCCUAGAAAUCAUGCAGAGAGGCCUGAGAAGUUCGAUGGAGCAAAUUUUAAAAGGUGGUAGUAGAA
Ziziphus jujuba (common jujube) is the source of this 4089-nucleotide RNA transcript. RefSeq lists it as uncharacterized. The record is from RefSeq and is a predicted model, not a curated record. The transcript has 5 exons. NCBI's taxonomy places the organism in Eukaryota, Viridiplantae, Streptophyta, Magnoliopsida, Rosales, Rhamnaceae.